GGUAGUUUAGUUUAAUGGUAAAACACUUGACGCGUAAUCACGGAGAUGUGAGUUCGAGUCUCAUGGCUGGCCA
Non-coding RNA from Octopus bimaculoides (California two-spot octopus), 73 nucleotides. The record is from Rfam. NCBI's taxonomy places the organism in Eukaryota, Metazoa, Mollusca, Cephalopoda, Octopoda, Octopodidae.